Clarias gariepinus (North African catfish) is the source of this 801-nucleotide long non-coding RNA. RefSeq lists it as uncharacterized. The record is from RefSeq and is a predicted model, not a curated record. NCBI's taxonomy places the organism in Eukaryota, Metazoa, Chordata, Actinopteri, Siluriformes, Clariidae. The transcript is spliced from 3 exons.
UCAACCUUCAGAAAUACUGUCAUGCCUGGACGAAGACUUUGGUAAGUAGAGUUUCUCUGAAAUAUUGCAUAGAUUUUUCAGUAAAGCCUUUAAAUAAGUUUGUUUAAAAUAAAAUGUGUUGUAAUAGUAAUUUGCUGUUCAUUACUAUUAUUGUAAAUAUUUCAUUGCCCUCCAGAACAUACUUCUUUUCCACCUUUGGAAAGGGCCGUAACAUUCAGAUCACGCCGCAUGGCAUAAAGCAUGCUCUACAAGGCCAUGCUAAAGAUGAAAGUGCUUAUCUCCCUACUGGCACCUGGGGAACACUUUGCCAGUCUUUGCAAAUUCCAAAUUCUCUUUGCAACAAAGUAAGAUUAAAAAACAUUGCACAGGCCCACCUACAGGUAAUAUUUCAACGAGAGAACAGGGAUGAGGAUAUGUGUAUUAAGUUUCUUUUCAAGUUUAUACUUACGAUGGGUCAACGUGUAAGGUAAUAUAGAGAUGCAUAGACAUUAAAUCAAGUAAUGAAACAGUAAAAACAUAGUAAUUAUUGUCUGGGGCAUAUGUUGUUACACACUAAUUUUGGUGUUGCAUUCAGUUAGCGUCUUUGUUAAUAAUACUUCAAUUUGGUUUGUCUGGGGUUGAGCAUCUUACAAAUUACACCAUUGUAUUUCCAAGGAGCCUUCUCUUGGCAAUCCAGAGGAUAGAGAUGUUGGGGAAGCUGAGUCUCCUUCUCCCAGGUGGUCUCCUGCACACAGCCCUUCAAGUCCACAUGAAACCGACAUAGAGUCUGAGGGCAAGAAUGUUGUUGGAGGUGAAUCUCCU